GACGAACGCGGCGGCGUGCCUAAUACAUGCAAGUCGAACGAGAGCGACCGGUGCUUGCACUGGUCAAUCUAGUGGCGAACGGGUGAGUAACACGUGGGUAACCUGCCCAUCAGAGGGGGAUAACAUUCGGAAACGGAUGCCAAAACCGCAUAGGUCCUUUAACCGCAUGGUUGAAGGAGGAAAAGAGGCGCAAGCUUCUGCUGAUGGAUGGACCCGCGGUGCAUUAGCUAGUUGGUGAGGUAACGGCUCACCAAGGCCGUGAUGCAUAGCCGACCUGAGAGGGUGAUCGGCCACAUUGGGACUGAGACACGGCCCAAACUCCUACGGGAGGCAGCAGUAGGGAAUUUUCCGCAAUGGACGCAAGUCUGACGGAGCAACGCCGCGUGAGUGAAGAAGGUUUUCGGAUCGUAAAACUCUGUUGUUAGAGAAGAACAAGUGCUAGAGUAACUGUUAGCGCCU
RNAcentral lists this ribosomal RNA (459 nucleotides) under Granulicatella adiacens. Its description in RNAcentral is "bacterial SSU rRNA". It matches the Rfam family "Bacterial small subunit ribosomal RNA", at positions 28 to 477 of the family's 1533-position model. The record is from RNAcentral. Lineage: Bacteria; Bacillati; Bacillota; Bacilli; Lactobacillales; Carnobacteriaceae.